This 4840-nucleotide long non-coding RNA is filed under the name Sus scrofa (pig). RNAcentral's name for it is "lncRNA (ENSSSCG00065025944.1)". The record is from RNAcentral. Lineage: Eukaryota; Metazoa; Chordata; Mammalia; Artiodactyla; Suidae.
CCCAGUAUGAAUGUCCAUAAACAAUAGUCCUUCUGACUUGCUUGCCAAUAGUCACCGACUACUUAAUGAAACUCAGUAUCCGUCCAACAGGGGAAGACUUCAGACAGGAAAACAGUGAGGUUUGAAAAAGCCAUGAAAGAGAUUGGGCAUAGACUUAGCCUUCAAACCUGGGCAGAAUUUGAACUAUUGCAGGAAACAAGAGGACAUUCCUGGGGAAACGGCGUCUAGGAGUACCAGUAGCAGUGCACAUUGCAUAAGUGUAGAGUAGAAUGGCAGGAGUAAGUUCUAUAUUAGUAGGGGGACGUGUGUUUUUCCAGGUAAGGUGACGUUUAAUUACAAAGGGACCUGACAAUGAAAUGGAAAGGUUGGGAUUGAGUGCAACAAGGAACAUAGAGUUUAGAUGUUUCAGAGCCACAUCAUGACAGUAUCCUAGAAAGUUGCAACACUCCAUGAGAGACAAUGAUUUAAACAAGAAGUCUUUCUUAUUAAAAAUGCAUUUGGUUAUCUCAAAUUUUGAAUCAGAGGCAUUGAAAAUUAUUCUUUUCUACGUUUUCUUAUAAUCUACUUUUUACUUGUUUUUGGCCAAUUAUUUGGAGGUUUAUCCUUACUGCUUAUUUUCAUGGGUCCUGCUAACUUAUACACAAUGUACUCUGUCCUUAGAUUCCCGGCAUUUCAUGUCAGAGAAGGGCACUAGAAAACAAAGAUGUUAAUUUUAUAAGUUCAGUGUAGCUAUUUCUUCAGUAUUUAAUUUAGGGAGAGAAUUUUACACAAAAGUACUGAGUGAAUACCCAUCUGGUAAGUCUUGAGCAUUAUCUAAUUUCUUUCCACUGUGUUUGGAGCUGCUGAGACACCUCGGGGAUUGUUUGUAUAACAUCAUUGCUUCAGGCCAUGGAAAAUUCUGUGCACUGCUUUCCAUACAUGCUUGGUUACAGCUGGUUCUGGUUUGUGUGUUUCAGGGUUUUCCAAUGCAAUUACUCCUUACUUCAUAUAUACCAAAUGGAUCUGCCUCUUUCUGUUUCAACCAAAGGCUUUUAAAUCAGAGUUUAAAAUGUGAAUACAGUGAUGGAAAAGUAAAAAAUGCCCAGAUAGACUGAAGGAAACUCAGAGAGACAUAAAGAACCUCAGUUGUAAUGUUUUCCCAAGUAGAAAAUACCAAUACCAAUAAUAAUAAUAAUAAUAAAAAGAAGAAAAGGCAGUUUUCUUUCCAUGUUCAAGGUUCUAUUAGACUUCUCUGUAAGUAUAUGUACUUUUGUCGCAAGCGUUUCAUUGGAAGGGAUAAUUAUUUCCCUUUUCUGUAGAAAGAACUCUCUUGCCAGGAGCACAAUGUAUUCUGCCUGGACCUGACAGAUCCAUCCUGUUCUUCCUAGAUCAAUAUGGGCUUCAGUCUUAGAGUCUCUGUGGCUUUCGUUCGAUCUCUGUAACUCUCAGAUUGACUCCCCAUAAAUGCAUUGAGGAGGAGCCAAUUAUCCCACACAGCCCCUGGCUUGUUAUUGCCAUAUGCGAUUAUAUUGGAGGAGGUAUGUGGCGUAACCCCAGGGAUGGCACCAAAAGAAAUGGCUUUUUUUCAUCAUUACAGUCCCAAUAAAAUCAGAUAAUACUCCAUCAACUGGCUUUUAAAAUGAAGGUUUAUAUCAUCUUAUGGCAAAGAUGUGAAAAAUGCAUGGCCACUGACAGAAGAAGUCUGUGCCUUCCAUGUUGGCAGGCAAGACAUUCCACAGAUGACUCUGUUCUUCCCUAGGCUGAAUCUAUUGCUGACAGCAAACGCAAUACUUACUACUCAAAUGUACUGGCCCUUUGGAUGCUUUUGAAAGAUCAGCUGCAGUCAUAGUGACAUAUUUGUGCUUGGGACACAUUCUAUAUUGUUUUCUGACCCGCAUACCUGUAGCACAAGUGAAUACUAAGUAGUUAUACAUUACCAACAUGGUUAUAUGCCCCUGAUAUUGUCUUGCUGUUAAUAAUACAACUAUGGAGCAGGCAUUUAACUUGCUCACCUCCAGAUUUCAAAAUAAAAAUACUAAUGGACUGUAAAAAAAUAGAAAUUAAAAAAAAAAAAACUUUAAAAAAGGAUAAAUCCAAAUGUCAAGGACUUUAAAACAUUUUUGCUGGAUCCACUUUGUUUAGAACAGUGUUGAAUGGAGGAGAGGGCUGUGGCUCUUCCUGUGGAAGGGACCUUGUACCAGGGAAGCAAGUGGAGGAAAAUCUGGCAGCAUGCUACUGAUAUUUCUGAACAAUGAUAUUUGAAGGCUUGAGGGAUGUGUAUGUGUGUGUGUGUGUGUGUGUGUGUGUGUGUGUGUGUGUGUGCGCGCACAUGCUGUCAGGAAAAGCAUGUAGCUUGGGGACAUAAGGAAAUGAGUGAGUGUCCUAAGGAAGAAUAUGUGGGUGCCAUCAGGGACUCUGGGAAAUAAUUCUGGUUCUAGAUACAUCAAUCCUGGAGGCUAUGGAGGCAUUUAUCAUAUGUUAACACCUGCCAUGGCUCUUUAUUCCAAUCAAACAUAAUGACUUUACCAGGGCUGGCUGCAGAUGAAGGAAGCCAUGCCAGGGGAAGAAAGAAAAGAGGAAAAAAGACAUGGCACCAGUCCAGAAAAGAAAUGUUUCCACACACAAAAUAAAAAUUGGCAGCAUUUGCUUUUCAUUAGGCUCUCUCCUUCCCUCCCUACUCUCCACUUGCUGGAUCACUGACCAUGUACAGGAAAUACUGCGUUAAUUCUAAACCUCACACUUCUUACAUCAUUUGGUACUGGUUUAGGAAAAGAAUCACACUAGUUUUAUGCAAAACCUAGCUGAAAACCGUAUAAGAAAAGUCUUUAAAUUGUUUUUUAAGUUGGCUAAAUACCUAAUUCCAUGCAUCUCAAGCUUCUGCAAUGAACAAAUAUCAAGGUACUUGGUGGUAUCAGCUGAUACUUAAAAAAUAAUUAGUUACAUUUUACUUGCAUAUUUUCUCAGAAAAAAAUCCAUAUAAAUAUUCUCAAAUAAUUACUAUAUAGGUUGAGGCAUUAAAAAUAGAAAAAAUAGGAGUUCCCAUCAUGGCGCAGUGGUUAACAAAUCCGACUAGGGACCAUGAGGUUGCGGAUUUGAUUCCCUGGCCUUGCUCAGUGGGUUAACUAUCCGGCGUUGCCGAGAGCUGUGGUGUAGGUUGCAGACGCGGCUCGGAUCCCACGUCGCUGUGGCUCUGGUGUAGGCCGUUGGCUACAGCUCCGACUGGACCCCUAGCCGGGGAACCUCCAUGUGCUGUGGGAGCGGCCCAAGAAAUAGCAAAAAGACAAAAAAAAAAAAAUAGAAAAAAUAAAACAGCAGUCAUAAAAUGUAGAUUAAUGUUUAAUUUGUGGGAGAAACUCGAAAAUGAAGGAGUAGAAUAACUGGAAAAUAUUGGUAGAUAUAGCUAUGUAUCAAUAUAAAAAAAUCAUCUCUGUAUCUUUCUUCAAACUAGGAAAUAUUUGCAUAUAUCUUCUGAAAAAAAAAAUAAUUGAGCCCUUCAAUCUGUAAAGAACUUGUCCAAAGUCAAGAACAGGAAAUGCAUGGAAAGAAAUAUGAAUGCUUCUAAACAUACACACACACACACACACACACACACACACUCUCUCUCUCUCUUCCUCUCUCUCAACCUGUAAUUAAAGAAAUACAAACUAGAAGAAACAAACAAUAUUUCAUUUUUUAAAGUGGCAAAGCUAUUUCCUAAAUUUGAGAAGGGCUGGGAAGGGUGGUGAAGGAUCACUUAGGAUGGGUACCAUUAAUACCAUACCUGGAAACAAUUUUAUCCUAGUAUUGAGAUCAUGACAAAUGUGUUAUGUCUAAUCAGAUAGGCAGACAACAAUUUUCGAAGCAGGAAUUCACCAAGGCAUUGUUUAGUAUAUGUGGUGCCGAAGCGAGCUCAAGGCAUUGUUGCUAUAUGGAAAGGAAAAUGUAUACCGAAUGCUAGUGAUCAGAGAUUUUCUUUUAAAUAUUGGUCAAAAAUCCAUAGCGAAUAUUUAAUUAUUAAGAUCAUUUCUUAACAAAAUAUUUGAUGGAAUAAAAUUAUGUUCAAAUAAAUUCUGAAAUAAAAAUUAGAAUAAAAACAUCAUGUAAUUUUUACCCCAGUUUUUAAAAAGAAAAAGAAUAUGAACAAUUAAACUGCUUAAAUCUCAGAGAGAAAUAGAGUGGUAAUGUGUGUUAACACGAUGCCACUAUAGAUUAGACAAACUUCUUGAUUUCCCCUUUCCUUGUUUACAUACAAACUUAUUUCUUUUUUCCCAGACACUCAGAGUCUUUAGAACCAUGCUGUCCAUUGCACUACAACAUGUCCAUUAGCUACAGAUGCUCACUGAACACUAGAACUGGGACCAGUCAGAAGGAGAUGUUUUUUUAGCUUAAAAAUAUACACCAAUUUCAAAGACAAAGCCUACAAAAUGCACAGAAUUUCUUUAAUGAAAUUUAAUAUUGACUCUAUUUAAAAUGACUUUUUUACAUGGCAGGUUAAACAAAAUAAGUGAUUGCAAUGAAAUUCACCUGCUUCUUAUUUCUUUUUUCAGUCUGGAUAUUUGACAGUGUACAAUUACCUAGGUGGCUUGCAUUGCAUUUCUGGUGGACAGCACUGCUAUAGGAUUUGCUGUUUCUGCUGACCUUCCACCUCUGUCCUAUACCAAUCUCUAGCAUGUUGGCAUUCUUUGUUAAAGCAGCUUUUGCAGGUGGCAGUUUCUGCAGCUAAGGAGAAAGAUCCAGGGAGUUGGGCAGGCAAGGAUUUUUAAAUUAAAGUUACGUUUGAGGUUAUUAUCCCUGACCUCACUAUUAGGAAAUGUUGUUUUGAGAGUUCUCUUAUGGGUUAGCCAGUUAAAAAUUUGGCUUUGUCACUGCGGUGCCUCAUGUU